GCCUCCGUGGCGCAAUCGGCUAGCGCGUUCGGCUGUUAACCGAAAGGUUGUAGGUUCGAGCCCUCCCGAGGGCG
RNAcentral lists this transfer RNA (74 nucleotides) under Rhipicephalus sanguineus (brown dog tick). Its description in RNAcentral is "transfer RNA asparagine (anticodon GUU)". It matches the Rfam family "tRNA". Rfam says of the family: Transfer RNA (tRNA) molecules are approximately 80 nucleotides in length. Their secondary structure includes four short double-helical elements and three loops (D, anti-codon, and T loops). The record is from Rfam by way of RNAcentral. Lineage: Eukaryota; Metazoa; Arthropoda; Arachnida; Ixodida; Ixodidae.